Molecule: ribosomal RNA, 199 nt
Filed under: uncultured bacterium
Lineage: Bacteria
Description: partial 16S ribosomal RNA
Rfam family: Bacterial small subunit ribosomal RNA
Source: RNAcentral
ACGCUCGACACCUACGGGAAGCAGCAGUGGGGAAUAUUGCACAAUGGGGGAAACCCUGAUGCAGCGACGCCGCGUGAGCGAAGAAGUAUUUCGGUAUGUAAAGCUCUAUCAGCAGGAAAGAAGAAAGACGGUACCUGACUAAGAAGCCCCGGCUAACUACGUGCCAGCAGCCGCGGUAAUCUGAGCGGGCUGGCAAGGC